AUUGAACGCUGGCGGCAUGCUUUACACAUGCAAGUCGAACGGCAGCGCGGGCUUCGGCCUGGCGGCGAGUGGCGAACGGGUGAGUAAUACAUCGGAACGUGCCCAGUAGUGGGGGAUAGCUCGGCGAAAGCCGGAUUAAUACCGCAUACGACCUGAGGGUGAAAGCGGGGGAUCUUCGGACCUCGCGCUAUUGGAGCGGCCGAUGGCAGAUUAGCUAGUUGGUGGGGUAAAGGCCUACCAAGGCGACGAUCUGUAGCUGGUCUGGGAGGACGACCAGCCACACUGGGACUGAGACACGGCCCAGACUCCUACGGGAGGCAGCAGUGGGGAAUUUUGGACAAUGGGCGAAAGCCUGAUCCAGCAAUGCCGCGUGUGUGAUGAAGGCCUUCGGGUUGUAAAGCACUUUUGGCGGGAACGAAAAGGACUGUGCCAAUACCACGGUUCGAUGACGGUACCCGCAGAAUAAGCACCGGCUAACUACGUG
This 484-nucleotide ribosomal RNA is filed under the name uncultured bacterium. RNAcentral describes it as "partial 16S ribosomal RNA". It matches the Rfam family "Bacterial small subunit ribosomal RNA", at positions 29 to 507 of the family's 1533-position model. The record is from RNAcentral.